UAGAUAAUCCAUUCCUCUCCCGUCUUAUAUAUUUGUUUCCUAAAAUGUGUGGUUGAAGAUGUGCUAGUAAAGGUGGACAAGUUUAUUUUUCCGAUAGAUUUCAUUAUCUUAGAUAUGGAGGAAGAUAGAGAGGUCGUAUUUAUCCUUGGCGGACCAUUCCUUACAAUUGAAAGACCACUUAUUGAUGUUCAAGAAGAUAAACUUACCGGUUACCAUGAGGGUCAAUGAUGAGCAGGGAAUUUCUUGAGAUGUGAUCAAGCAGGUUAGCACGUUUUCAUUUCUUGUGUAAAAAGGGCCACAUUCACACCAUUACGACAUCGGACAAACAAAAGGCUUACGUUCAUCCAUAAACCAUCUUAUGUAAUCAUGAGAUGGUUUGAAAUUAUCACCAAGAAUCCAUUCUUUAUGCCUAGUAGGCCAAACUUCAUCAUGGUGCCCGCCCAUAUCAAUCUUGUGAAGCUUAUCAACGUUGAUUGGCAUUUUGGGAAUUGAUUGUUGCAUCCCAAAUUGUCACAUUACUCCAUCAGUUUGUUGCCACUCCACAACUGCAAAGCAUAUCAAUGUUGUAUUUGCAUUCCAUAAGUGACAAUGGUCAUAAACUUCUAAAGGUAGGCAUACUACAAUUUCAUUUGAAGAAUAUGGCAUCCAAAUAAACUGCAAAUGAUUUAUUAAAAAAAGUUUAAAGUAUUAGAAGAGUGCAUAUGCAUCAAAUGCAUGAAUACUUGAAUCAAAUUAUAAAA
Gossypium raimondii (Peruvian cotton) is the source of this 740-nucleotide long non-coding RNA. RefSeq lists it as uncharacterized. The record is from RefSeq and is a predicted model, not a curated record. The transcript is spliced from 2 exons. Lineage: Eukaryota; Viridiplantae; Streptophyta; Magnoliopsida; Malvales; Malvaceae.